This 75-nucleotide antisense RNA is filed under the name Streptomyces sp. XY431. RNAcentral's name for it is "ASpks sRNA". It matches the Rfam family "ASpks TB sRNA". Lineage: Bacteria; Bacillati; Actinomycetota; Actinomycetes; Kitasatosporales; Streptomycetaceae. The record is from RNAcentral.
CUUCAACGAGCCGAGCCAGAGCGGCUGUUCGGUGUCGCGGCCCUGGCCGUAGGUGGCCAGCAGGGCCUGGGCCUC